UUCAUCGCUCGCGAUGUUUAACUUGCAUGAUUGUGAUACGUCCUACCGGUGGGCUUAGCUUUGUGUCAAAGCAAGGCGGUCCAGCUAUUAUCCCAUCGCGGUGCUCUUUACCGAGUGUCGUUAUGGGCCGGUACGUUUACUUUGAACAAAUUAGAGUGCUCAAAGCAGGCUUUGUUCGCCUGAAUACUUCGUGCAUGGAAUAAUGGAAUAGGACCUCGGUUCUAU
RNAcentral lists this ribosomal RNA (225 nucleotides) under Megaphragma sp. D1224. RNAcentral describes it as "partial 18S ribosomal RNA". The stretch from base 121 to 225 matches the Rfam family "Eukaryotic small subunit ribosomal RNA", at positions 736 to 839 of the family's 1831-position model. Lineage: Eukaryota; Metazoa; Arthropoda; Insecta; Hymenoptera; Trichogrammatidae. The record is from RNAcentral.